This 451-nucleotide ribosomal RNA is filed under the name uncultured bacterium. Its description in RNAcentral is "bacterial SSU rRNA". It matches the Rfam family "Bacterial small subunit ribosomal RNA", at positions 29 to 524 of the family's 1533-position model. The record is from RNAcentral.
AACGAACGCUGGCGGCAUGCCUAACACAUGCAAGUCGAACGAGACCUUCGGGUCUAGUGGCGCACGGGUGCGUAACGCGUGGGAAUCUACCCUUGGGUUCGGAAUAACUCAGAGAAAUUUGAGCUAAUACCGGAUGAUGUCGCAAGACCAAAGAUUUAUCGCCCAAGGAUGAGCCCGCGUAGGAUUAGCUUGUUGGUGAGGUAAAAGCUCACCAAGGCGACGAUCCUUAGCUGGUCUGAGAGGAUGAUCAGCCACACUGGGACUGAGACACGGCCCAGACUCCUACGGGAGGCAGCAGUGGGGAAUAUUGGACAAUGGGCGAAAGCCUGAUCCAGCAAUGCCGCGUGAGUGAUGAAGGCCUUAGGGUUGUAAAGGCUCUUUUACCCGGGAUGAUAAUGACAGUACCGGGAGAAUAAGCCCCGGCUAACUCCGUGCCAGCAGCCGCGGUAAU